This 460-nucleotide RNase P RNA is filed under the name Pseudanabaena sp. FACHB-1998. RNAcentral describes it as "RNase P RNA component class A". It matches the Rfam family "Bacterial RNase P class A". From Rfam's summary of the family: Ribonuclease P (RNase P) is a ubiquitous endoribonuclease, found in archaea, bacteria and eukarya as well as chloroplasts and mitochondria. Its best characterised activity is the generation of mature 5'-ends of tRNAs by cleaving the 5'-leader elements of precursor-tRNAs. The record is from RNAcentral. Lineage: Bacteria; Bacillati; Cyanobacteriota; Cyanophyceae; Pseudanabaenales; Pseudanabaenaceae.
AAGAGCAAGCGUGCGGUUGCGAAACUUAUUUCAAGAUUUAUCUUAGAUGCAAGUUUUGAGGAAAGUCCGGGCUUCCCCGAAGAUCAGGCUGCUGGAUAAUGCCCAGUGCGAGCGAUCGUGAGGAUAGUGCCACAGAAAGAUACCGCCCAUUGAUAAAUAGCGCUUCGCAAUACUUAUUCAAUGGGUAAGGGUGCAAAGGUGUGUUAAGAGCGCACCAGCAGAGUCGUGAGGCUCUGGCUCGGUAAACCCCAGUUGGAAGCAAGGCGAGAGAAUACAAGUGUUGCGAUCUUCAAUUUGAUCUUGUAUUCGUUGCUUAAAGUGAUGGUUUAGUGAAAGCUAGGCGAUCGCUAUGUAAGUGUGUGCCGCAUGAGGUAUUUGGUAACAAAUAUCCCAGAUAGAUAACCGCUAAGGAGUUGAAAAACUCCCCAAACAGAACCCGGCUUAUGUCUUACUCUUUCUA